RNAcentral lists this long non-coding RNA (923 nucleotides) under Equus caballus (horse). RNAcentral describes it as "lncRNA (ENSECAG00000043651.2)". The record is from RNAcentral. Lineage: Eukaryota; Metazoa; Chordata; Mammalia; Perissodactyla; Equidae.
UGGACCUAAUCAAAAUAUUAGUGUCUUAAGAAGAAAGAGAAAAGCCAUUUGUUUUUUAAAACAUGUCCAAAAGACAUCAGACUGAAAAAGUUCGAAACCAAACUCAUCUUUUGUCUAAAACCUGCUCCAACCAGAGUCUUACCCAUCCCGACUGAUGGCAACUCCAUCUUUCCAGUUGUUCAAGCCCAAAGUUUUGGAGUCAUUUCUUCACUUCUUGGUUUCUGUCACACCCCCACUUCCAAUUAGAUCAUCCUAUAGGCUCUAUUUUCAACACGUAUCCAGAAUUCAGUCUCUUCUCAAGCACCUCCACUGCUAAUGCUGUGGCCUGAAUUGGCCCAUGUUUCAACUACACUACUGCUGUUGCUGCCUGGUCUACUUGCUUUUGUUUACAGCCUUUACAAUCUCUUUAUGUCUUUUCGACACACAUCCAGGGUAACCUUGAUGAAAUGGAAGUCACUCUAUGGCCCUUCUCUUCUCGAAACUCUACAGAGGCUCCCAGUUUUCCUUACAGUAACAGCCAAAGUGCUUGUAAUGGCUCACAAAACCUGAUGUGAUCAGUCUCUCCUCCAUUGCUGCCUGACUGUCCCUCACCUCUGUCCCAUCACUCGCUCUAAUCCAGCCACCUUAGCAUCCUUGCUAUUUCCCCAAAACACUACUGCUUCAGGCCUUUGCACUAGCUAUGUUUUCUGUCUGUAAUUUUCAUCCCUUUUAUAUCCACAUGGCCCACUCCUUCACCUUUUGAAAUCUUUUCUUAUUUACAAUUAUAAACUUCCAUCCCUCCAACCCCUCCAAAAGUCUUGAUAUCCCUUAUCUUCUCUAUUUUUCCCAUAGCACUUACUACCUUUAACAUUUAGAAUUUAUUUAAUUAUUUUGUCUAUUUCCUGUUUCUGCUCUUAGAAUAUAAACUCUGUAGGGCAGGGUUU